Long non-coding RNA from Impatiens glandulifera, 388 nucleotides. RefSeq lists it as uncharacterized. The transcript has 3 exons. Lineage: Eukaryota; Viridiplantae; Streptophyta; Magnoliopsida; Ericales; Balsaminaceae. The record is from RefSeq and is a predicted model, not a curated record.
AUUGUUGUGGAGUAUGUCACUAAUAUGGUGCAUAAAGCUCAAGAUACUGCUACUAAAAGAGGAAAACUUCUCAUAGAAGAUUUUAUGUUUUUAAUCCGAAAGGUUGUAGAAAAAAUUCGAAUAGAUGAGCGUGUCUCCAUAAUAGAUAAGACAAAUUUAAGAUAUCUUCCCGGGCUUCCAAAAAAGUUGAUUUGAUGAUUUUGGACCUUUCUUUUAUCUGAAUACAUUCUGACAUAAUGACGACAAUAUACAUAUGGAAGAAAAAGGUUCCACAAGUUCUUACCCAUUGAUUGACAAUAUUGAUAAUAACGUGGAGGAGCAAAUAUCAUGGAGACCUAUUUUCAUUCUUGAUUUUAGUGAUAUUUCUUUAAGUGUGUGCCUUAUUUUA